GGCCUGCCUCUGGAAGGGGCUGGACCUUUCCGCGAGAAAACAAAACAUUUACGGAUGGAAAGCAGGGCUGACAGGUGUCAUCUGUCUGAGUGUGGCCAGGGUAAGCGGGCACCCUUGCAGGCAGGAGCUAGAAACUCUUUGGAGAAGGCACAGGCGGCUCAGGGGGCGGAAGAGGCCUAGGGCCCCUGCCCGGCGCGCCCGCCUGGGGCCGUCGGGCUGGUUCACGUGCCCCUGCGUUCCGUGCAGCUGGGCCCAGCAGAUCCUCUGGCAGGGAACCUCUGGAUUUUGUGGCUCUGGGCGUCUGUGGACCAGAACUUUUGGUUUUAAGUCAUUUUUGAUAGAAAUGUUUCUGUGGUUACGUUCCUUCUCUCCCGAAUCCUUGCGCCUCCAGCAUCUGCGUAGAACCCAUGGUCACAGUUGGGUGGCCAGCUCCCUGGGCGGCCACGGUGGGCCUCCUGCCAGGCCAGGCAACUGUGCCAUGGGGCCUGGGCUCCGAGCGCUGGGUCAGCACAGGCCGCUGGCAUCCGGGGUUCUUGUCUGCUUUGCGAGGCAUUGUCUUCCUUCGUAAUUUCCUAGUUUUUUCUCCCCUGUGCACUUAAAGCAGCGCCCCCCCCCCCCAACUUUCUUGGCUGAUCCAGUGACCCUCGACCCUGGAAGGAUGGGUGGGGGAGGGGACAGGGAGGAUGUGUCUGGGCCUUGGGGGUGGGACCCAAGAACGGGGGUCAGCAGACUGCAGCCUGUGGCCGCCCUUGCGUAGCCCGCGCUUGCGUAGCCCACCUGUGAGGCUGGAAAAGUACAGAGAAGGUCUCCUUUCACCUGAAACUGAACCGUCAGUAGAGCCGCUGGAGCCUGGCCCGCCCGUCCCCUGUGCCAGCGUCGGAGUCGUCCGGGGAUGGGUUUGCCGACCCCCGCCCUGACGCUGGGGUGCACCCUUGGGACCUUGACCUAGCCCUGGAUGCCCAGGGUCCCCAGGUUCCCCUCUGUGAGGGACCUGGGUGAGGCACCAGGUGUUCAGGGGGCAGGCCCGCCCCUCGGCCACAGUCACUCGAUUGUCGCUGGAGGCACAGGUGGCCCGCAGCGCACUGGUGUGAGAGGAGCAGAGCGUGCAGGGUGGGUGUCCUGGUGGGGGGGCCCUGCUGGCGGCAUUGGGAGCCAGUGGGAAGAGUCGAGCAGGAAAAGGAAGCUGAGAGGCUGCGUGCUGUGUGUUUUCUGCGCACUGUUGCCUUUGCACACUGGUUCCCACGAACGGCUCAGUGAUUUGGGGGAGGGGCCUGGCCUCUGGGGUGAAGCAGCGAGGGCUCUGUGUGCGCAGUGGGCCUGCAGGGAUUCUGCGCUUUGGCCAGAAUCAUCCCUUCCCCCUGCGGGUCUCCUGCAAGGAGCACCGCUUGAGGCCACCAGCUCGCCCACAGAGCCGGCCCCAGGGGAGGGAGAGUGGCAGGCGACCCCCAGCAGCGGACACUUGGUAGUCCGGCUGCGUGUCUGGGGUCAGGUGGUGGCCCUGUUCCUGUCCUGGACGUGAUGGCACCUGUGCUGUGAGCUGACCGAGGGCCCCCAGGCCGAGCAUCUCUGGGGGGGGCGGAGGACGGAACUCUGCCUGCCUGUGUGUCUGCUGUCCUGGUCCCUUGACCAUUUACCUCUUUCAGACUCCUGUUCUCUGGCACCUUUGAACUCAGUGUCUUUGGCCUAAGAGCUGUUCUUGCCUGACGCCCAAAUGCCUUCUGCUGGGGUCAGAGUGGGCUGUUUCCGUGGGGAUGCGGCCCUCAGGCAUCACAUGAACUGUUUUCAGUAAAACUCAGAGCUGCAGCUCAUCCGUGCUCCUCCUCAUGUAGGACUGAUUUCAGGCAACGAGCUACUGAGAACUGGUCCUAAGUGUGAUUACCUAAUGCACACAGAGCAUAGGCCCUAAACGUAUUGUAAAACCAUCAUUAAAAUCUGUUUCCCAACCUUUGCUUUUUAGGUGAUUGAAAACUUGGCCUCAGAGCAAAGAAUUCACUAGUUACGAUUCAACGUGUUCAACAGAAGCCAUCCCCAACCCAGCUUAAAUUAUAAAUAGAGAAAAUAACUUUGUUCAAAUCUGCGUGGUGCUUCUUUAGUAAAUACUGUACAGAUUUUACCAUGGAGGACUUUUUUUUUUAGUUUUUACCUUUUCUUAAUUACCCUUAUUCCAAAUGGACGAACACUUUCUACAACUGCUGACCACUGUAAAAUACUGUGUAUAUAAAUCACAUUGAAAUAACGCCCUGGACUAGAACAUCUCAAAUGCUGCUUAAUCACAGACUCAGGUUGAUCACUCGUAUUCCAUGUAACGCUCCUCCGAGUUAGCUAGCCGGUGCAAGACCAGCCGGGACACCAUGGAAUUAUUAAAAGUACAAACUGACAGUGUGUAUAUUUAAUUUAAAAACUUAUUUAAAGAUUCACACGCUCUCAAUGAGACUUUUGAGAGCAGUCUGUUUUCUGUAAUGUCUGAUACUAGAAACUAAUUUGCUUCAUAUUUUAGUUGUAUUCAAGAUUUGAAGAUGUAUUUUAUAGACAAGUUCUGUUUUUGAACUUCGUGGAACUAUUCCAAUCAAUUUACCAGUUAUGAUGCGUAUUUACAUUAUGAAUGUAUAAUCCAAACAUUAUUUGUAAGGCCUACAGUAUGUUUUUAUUACCUAACUUUUUUAUACAGUGUCUCUUGUCUUGACUAUGAUAUUGGAGUCUGAGUUGUCGGCUUGGUCCCUUAAAGUUUCUAGUUACAGACAAAAUCAUACUGUGAUUUUAUUUUUAAUAUGGAUAUGCUAUCAAACUGUGAUACACUUAUAAUUCACUGGUCCUGCAUCAGGAGAUGGAGUGGGGAAAACUGUAUUUGAUACAGUUCGUAUCUGAAUAAUCUGUAUGGUUUAUACAGUUUGUGUUGUUCAGAGAUGUCUAAAGAAGUUUGAUCUUUGUUUUUUUAAAGAUUAAAAAAGCACUUGCCCCACUGUAAAUAUACAGCAUGGAAAAUUUAUAUAGUAUAUAAAUGGCAGCAAAU
This 3010-nucleotide long non-coding RNA is filed under the name Sus scrofa (pig). RNAcentral's name for it is "lncRNA (ENSSSCG00005018013.1)". Lineage: Eukaryota; Metazoa; Chordata; Mammalia; Artiodactyla; Suidae. The record is from RNAcentral.